Non-coding RNA from Megalops atlanticus (tarpon), 83 nucleotides. The record is from the annotation of a GenBank genome assembly. Lineage: Eukaryota; Metazoa; Chordata; Actinopteri; Elopiformes; Megalopidae.
ACCAGGAUGGCUGAAUGGUGAAGGCAUUGGAUCUAUGACCUAACGGACUGAUGCCCUUGUGGGUUUGAACCCCACUCCUGGUA